Long non-coding RNA from Dendroctonus ponderosae (mountain pine beetle), 1473 nucleotides. RefSeq lists it as uncharacterized. The record is from RefSeq and is a predicted model, not a curated record. NCBI's taxonomy places the organism in Eukaryota, Metazoa, Arthropoda, Insecta, Coleoptera, Curculionidae. The transcript has 2 exons.
CUUAAGCUAACAAUGAUAACACAACACUAUCUAAAAUUAGAGUUACAAUGAAAUUCCUAGAUAAAGCGUUAUCCGAAAAGCGCAAAAACACGAAAAUGGUAAAAACCAUGCCAUUCCAGUCGAUUGAUAAGAGAAUUUCAAAGACACUUCAACCAACCAACGUUCUUAGGCGGUAAAUAUUGUCUUAUUUUCAAAGUGUCUGGACAAACAGAGGCAACGGUCUCUGCAUGAAAUGAAUCACACUUUACAUGUUGUACUGUGGAUUCGUCAGUGAUAAAACAUAUCAACAAAACGACUGAAUGAACGCCAUAAAACGUGUAUUCCCAAAUACGAAUGUGUUUGAUGCAACUUUAAAAACCGUGCAUCGGUACUUUGUUCUACAGUAGUGCGUAAGAAAAACAAGGCAAAUAUCAUAAACAGGAGGAUUACCAAGGUACCAAGGUACUUUUUGCGUCGAUUCACUCCACGAUCGAUGCACGCAUUUUUCAUGAAAACGUUGGAACAUCUUGCCUACCAUCCAGACUUGUCACCUCAUGAUUUUCAUCUUUAUGUACACCUGAAACAAGUGCUUGGAUGUGGGCAUUUUGACGAAGAUCAAGCUGGUGCAGCAGUUGGUGCUCCUGUGGCUGCGUGAACUUUUAAUUUUCUUUCACUUAUAAACAACUCCAGAGAUUAAUCAAAGCGUUUAUGUUUAAAAGGCUGAGCUUAGGACAACCACAAAAAAGUUAUCUAUCCAUUAUCGAAGACAGGUCAUAACAUCGAAAUUCGCACUAAAAAUAUCCGUUAUUGACAAUUUACCGGUUUUCAAAUUUUUCAGUCAAAUUCUUUAACGCCUUUGAACUAUGAAGAAUGUUGGAUUAAGCAUUAAAAUUUUAUUUAUUUUUUAGCAAUCGUCGUGGAGAUAAUCUGGUUUCCCAAAUUUCGAUACACCUACAUUGGCAGAUUUCAGUUGCCAUCCCGAAAAAAUUAGAUUACUACUCGCAGUUAUGUUUAUUUCUUCAAAUAUUUGCUUUUCGUUAUGUUUUAAGCAAAGAGUCUACCGAUAGUCGAAAAUCGUGAAGAUCUAAAGGCCCGAACUAAUUAUAACAAAAUAAAUGGCUUCCGAUUGCAUAUAAAACCGACAGUUUUGCAUAGAAAGGCCGAGGGAUGAACCGUGAAAGACAAAAAACUGCAAGUUGGCUUCUUCGUCAUUCACAAUCGAUUUUUGCUUUCCGAUGUUUUCUCCUUCAAAUAACCCAUUCGUUCCAAGUCUUAACGAACAGGCAAAUUGAUACGGAUUGACUGAUAAUGAUAGAAAAUGCAGAAAGGUAAUUUCGAAAUUCUCAAUAUAAUAACAUUAGUAAUAUUCUAAAUGUAGUAAUAUAAUCGAAACUAAAAUAACUGAACUGAAUCCAAACUGCCAAGAAAGAUCAGAGCAAUUAAUCAUCGAAAAAGCGAACAUGCAAAUGAAUAAAUAAUAAUGUUUAUGCUGUA